AAGAAGAAGAAGAAGAAGAAGAAGAAGAAGAAGAAGAAGAAGAAGAAGAAGAAGAAGAAGAAGAAGAAGAAGAAGAUACUGAAAUGGAUGAGGCUACGACAUCCCAGCAACCCAGAAGAUCCAAAAGACAGAGGAAGAGAACAUGAAUGAUCUUGAAAAAUGGAGUGGCUAUUUUGGUGAAAAAUAGUAUAAAUUUACAAGUAGAGGAGACAUUAAAAGAUCAAAAUGGGAGAUGGAUUUUGGUUAAGGGAAGGUUUAAUGACGCACAAAUAACAUUGAUGAAUAUAUAUGCUCCUAACAGAAGACAGAAAAGUUUUUUACAGAAACAGUUUAAAAGAAUACAAAAGAAAUAUAAAGGUGAUACACUGAUAAUAGGAGACUAUAAUUUAGAUUUGAGAAACUAUGAGGGGUUCAAGAAAUGGAAUAUAGUAAAUAUGUAUGAUGAGCUAAAUAUGCCACAACAGCCAACCUUUUACUCGAGUAGACGUAAAAAAUUUACAUAUAUAGAUUACAUUUUUACAAAAAAAUUGGAAACAUUACAAAGUUUAGAGAUCCAAACACAUAAAGAGUGGAUUUCUGACCAUGCUCCUUUGGUAGCUAAGUUCAGACUGGCAAAAGAAGAGAAACAAUUCAGAUGGAGAUAUGAUAAUAUCAUAAUGAAGAAUGGUAAAGAAAAGAAGGGGUUACAAGAAAAAAUGAAAUACUAUUUUUUAGAGAAUAGGGGAACAGUGAUGAUGAAAUUUUAUGGGAUGCAUCCAAAGCAGUAAUAAGAGGAUAUUGUAUAGAUAUUCAAAACAGGCAAAAAAAUGUAAUGAAUAAGGAACGACAGGAACUGUUGGAGAAAAUUAAAGUGAUUAGAGACAAACUACAGACCCGGUUUGAUAUUAGGGAUAAGAAUAAAUUGAAAGGUAUUGAAAGAUCAAUUAGAUGACCUAGACCAGUUAGAAAUGUGGAAAAAGGAUAUCUGGGUAAAAAAUCAAUUUCAAAGAACCAAUAUAAAGUCAAUGAAACAACUUGCAAGCAAUUUUUAAAAAAGAAGGAAAAACAAAGCAUCAAAGUAAUAAGAGAUGAAAACAAUGUAAAAAUAACAUUGUAAUAAGAGAAUUAGACAGAAAUUUGAAGAAUUUUAUCAAACACUUUUUGGAAAG
Sphaerodactylus townsendi is the source of this 1148-nucleotide long non-coding RNA. RefSeq lists it as uncharacterized. Lineage: Eukaryota; Metazoa; Chordata; Lepidosauria; Squamata; Sphaerodactylidae. The record is from RefSeq and is a predicted model, not a curated record. The transcript is spliced from 2 exons.